RNAcentral lists this ribosomal RNA (319 nucleotides) under uncultured Thermovirga sp. Its description in RNAcentral is "bacterial SSU rRNA". It matches the Rfam family "Bacterial small subunit ribosomal RNA", at positions 1064 to 1382 of the family's 1533-position model. The record is from RNAcentral. Lineage: Bacteria; Thermotogati; Synergistota; Synergistia; Synergistales; Thermovirgaceae.
GUCGUGAGAUGUUGGGUUAAGUCCGCAACGAGCGCAACCCCUGCAUUCAGUUGCCAACGGUAAGGCCGGGCACUCUGGAUGGACUGCCGGCGGAACAGGGCCGGAGGAAGGUGGGAUGACGUCAAGUCAUCAUGGCCCUUAUGUCCAGGGCGACACACGUGCUACAAUGGCCGGCACAGCGGGAAGCGAGGGGCGACCUUGAGCGGAUCCCUCAAAGCCGGUCUCAGUUCGGAUUGCAGUCUGCAACUCGACUGCAUGAAGUUGGAAUCGCUAGUAAUCGUGGAUCAGCCAAGCCGCGGUGAAUACGUUCCCGGGCCUU